GGCCUACCAUGGUGGUAACGGGUAACGGGGUGUUAGGGCACGACACCGGAGAGGGAGCCUGAGAAACGGCUACCACAUCCAAGGAAGGCAGCAGGCGCGCAAAUUACCCAAUCCCGACACGGGGAGGUAGUGACAAUAAAUAACAAUACAGGGUUCUUUAGGAUCUUGUAAUUGGAAUGAGUACAAUUUAAAUCUCUUAACGAGGAACAAUUGGAGGGCAAGUCUGGUGCCAGCAGCCGCGGUAAUUCCAGCUCCAAUAGCGUAUAUUAAAGUUGUUGCAGUUAAAAAGCUCGUAGUUGAAUUUCGGGAUCAGUACGCUGGUCGUGUCUUGGUAUGUACUGGUGUUACUGGUUCCUACCUUCUGACGAACCGUCAUGUCAUUAAUUUGGUGUGGCGGGAAAUCAGGACUGUUACUUUGAAAAAAUUAGAGUGUUUAAAGCAGGCUCGCGCUUGAAUACAUUAGCAUGGAAUAAUGAAAUAGGACGUUCGAUCCUAUUUUGUUGGUUUCUAGGAUUGACGUAAUGAUUAAUAGGGAUAGUUGGGGGCAUUAGUAUUCAAUUGUCAGAGGUGAAAUUCUUGGAUUUAUUGAAGACUAACUACUGCGAAAGCAUUUGCCAAGGAUGUUUUCAUUAAUCAAGAACGAAAGUUAGGGGAUCGAAGACGAUCAGAUACCGUCGUAGUCUUAACCAUAACUAUGCCGACUAGGGAUCGGAUGAUGUUAAUUUUUUAAUGACUCAUUUCGGCGCCUUACCG
RNAcentral lists this ribosomal RNA (753 nucleotides) under uncultured Glomus. RNAcentral's name for it is "SSU rRNA". It matches the Rfam family "Eukaryotic small subunit ribosomal RNA", at positions 338 to 1093 of the family's 1831-position model. Lineage: Eukaryota; Fungi; Glomeromycota; Glomeromycetes; Glomerales; Glomeraceae. The record is from RNAcentral.